Molecule: unclassified non-coding RNA, 239 nt
Filed under: uncultured fungus
Lineage: Eukaryota; Fungi
Description: sequence contains ITS2
Rfam family: 5.8S ribosomal RNA (bases 1-52)
Source: RNAcentral
AACGCACAUUGCGCCCCUUGGUAUUCCGAGGGGCAUGCCUGUUCGAGCGUCAUUAUAACCACUCAAGCCUCGGCUUGGUAUUGGGGUUCGCGGUCUCGCGGCCCUUAAAACCAGUGGCGGUGCCAUCUGGCUCUAAGCGUAGUAAUUCUCUCGCUAUAGGGUCUAGGUGGUUACUUGCCAAAACCCCCCUAUUUUCUAUGGUUGACCUCGGAUCAGGUAGGGAUACCCGCUGAACUUAA